ACAAAACUAUAUAAUUUUAAAUAAAAUUAGAUAAUUCAAAAUAAUAUAUAUAAUUUUAAAUAAAAUUAUGUAACUUUAAUCUACUAAACUAAAAAAAAAAAAAACAUAUAAUUUUAAAUAACACUAAUUAGUUUUGAUAUUUGGUCAUAGCCUAAAACAAAUAAACCAUAAUUCUAUUAUCUUCUUCUCAUCUCAAAUUCACAUCAAUUCAACCCUCCCAAAGCCUCCUCCACCCACCCUCUUCUUCACGCCGUCGUUAGGCUAUUGCUGCUGCCAUUCACUCUAUUGAUGCUGCCGUUCACUCUAUUGAUGCUGCCGUUCACUCCACCGCUUCUGCGAUGCAAGCAGCCGCUGCUGCCGUCGUUGUCAGCCGCUGCUCCGUCUCAGGCGUCAAUCUUGAUAGCUCUUCUGGAAAUACUUCGGGAAACUCGAAGACCACCGGAACGUCCUUAACUCUAUCUUUUUCUACCCAGGUAUUUGUGACUAAUGCCAAAUAUUCCUGACACCCAUGGCGAAGCAUCUGUCUAGCCGUAAUGGCUGACACAAGAUUCGACGGGUAGGUAUCUGCUCGCCUUUAAAAUAAAACUCUAAGUCUCUCGAAAUUUAAAAAGUUCCUUUGCUUUU
This is a long non-coding RNA of Ricinus communis (castor bean), 624 nucleotides long. RefSeq lists it as uncharacterized. The record is from RefSeq and is a predicted model, not a curated record. NCBI's taxonomy places the organism in Eukaryota, Viridiplantae, Streptophyta, Magnoliopsida, Malpighiales, Euphorbiaceae. The transcript has 2 exons.